CACCGCCCGUCACACCAUGGGAGUCGAUUGCUCCAGAAGUGCCUGAGCCAACCGCAAGGAGGCAGGCCCAAGAGUGAUCGGUAACUGGGGUG
This 92-nucleotide ribosomal RNA is filed under the name uncultured bacterium. Its description in RNAcentral is "partial 16S ribosomal RNA". The record is from RNAcentral.